This is a long non-coding RNA of Solanum pennellii, 1175 nucleotides long. RefSeq lists it as uncharacterized. The transcript has 2 exons. Lineage: Eukaryota; Viridiplantae; Streptophyta; Magnoliopsida; Solanales; Solanaceae. The record is from RefSeq and is a predicted model, not a curated record.
CAUCCCUAUAGCCCACCAUCUCGACCCAACUUCUCAACAAAAAUAACCCAAAAUGAGAUUGAUCCGAUCCGACCCUUUUCUCAUCCCCAAAGAGACCCAAAAACAUACGCAUUCCAGCAGUAACAGCAACCCAGAGCGUCGAUAACAGAGCAGCACAACGCCCUCAUGAAUUAGUGAAACGACAUCGACAACAGCGAGCCAAUGACGCCUGCUCGACUAAGCGGUGAUACACGGCGUCGGCGAGUGUAGUGCGAAUCAUUACCACUCUGCGACUUUUCUUGUCUUCUUCUUUAGCUUCUUUUUCCAGUUGACAGUCGCAGCAAAGUAGCACGCGAUUUGUCCUUACCAUCACAAGAUGGAGCCACGUCGCAGCAAGGACGCUGCCAUCGAUCCCAGGCGUGAAUUUUCUUUCCCAUUCCGGAAUAAGAGUUAAAGCUUUCAGAAAAAAAGAUGUUCUCCUUUUUGGGUGAAAGCAUUGAGAAUUUGAAUUUGAAAAAAUCGUCCUUUCUCAUCCGUUUUUCCCCUUUGGUGAACCCUAAUUCCCUUCUAUAUAUCCCUCUAUUCACUGUUAGAGGGAUUUUUUUCAGGAGAAUUCGGCUAGAGCAAAGAAAAUAUAUACAUAGAGAUUCCCGAUUUAGCGAAGUCCUAUUUUUUAAACUUUCGAAAGCGACGAAUGAAAGACAACCAAAUAUAUAGGAAUAUACUCGAAAAGAAAAAAAAGAACUAGUUUUUCAGCCCUCGUUUCGUUGAUCUGUAUUCGAGUUUUCCUGUGGUGAGGUCUGUUAUUCGUCGUCAUCCCACUUCGCUGCCCGUAACUAGACCGUUCGAGUUCGCCAUGAACUCUCGCUUUCCCUCUUGCAUUUAAAAGAGAGCCGUAAAGGCUCAAAUUCCCUCGUCGAGUCAAUUGACCAUUAAAAAUGGACGUACAGGUUUUUGAAAUUGAAGGAUUUGAGAUGGAAGAAGUGAAGAGAUUGGUCCACCAAGGCUCAAAUUUAUUUUCCUGAAAUUUGUAUUUUGUUAGUUUGGGUUUAAGCCCUUGUCUUUUGUAUCAAUACCUUUUUAGAAUUUACGACGGGUACAAAUCGGAUAGGCCUAAGGCCUAAAAGCGAAAUGGGUCUAAAUACCGGUUCAGGCGGACAGCAACCAGAUUUGGACCCAACCCAAUUCUCUCUCUC